GUCUCCAUAGCUCAAAGGAUAGAGCAGCAGCCUUCUAAGCUGAGAGUUCCGGGUUCAAGUCCUGGUGGAGACG
This 73-nucleotide transfer RNA is filed under the name Kamptonema sp. SIO1D9. RNAcentral's name for it is "tRNA-Arg". It matches the Rfam family "tRNA". From Rfam's summary of the family: Transfer RNA (tRNA) molecules are approximately 80 nucleotides in length. Their secondary structure includes four short double-helical elements and three loops (D, anti-codon, and T loops). Further hydrogen bonds mediate the characteristic L-shaped molecular structure. tRNAs have two regions of fundamental functional importance: the anti-codon, which is responsible for specific mRNA codon recognition, and the 3' end, to which the tRNAs corresponding amino acid is attached (by aminoacyl-tRNA synthetases). tRNAs cope with the degeneracy of the genetic code in two manners: having more than one tRNA (with a specific anti-codon) for a particular amino acid; and 'wobble' base-pairing, i.e. permitting non-standard base-pairing at the 3rd anti-codon position. The record is from RNAcentral. Lineage: Bacteria; Bacillati; Cyanobacteriota; Cyanophyceae; Oscillatoriales; Microcoleaceae. RNAcentral also lists the same sequence under 3 other names.